This 291-nucleotide long non-coding RNA is filed under the name Elaeis guineensis (African oil palm). RNAcentral describes it as "long non-coding RNA (EGUI_LNC031987)". The record is from RNAcentral. Lineage: Eukaryota; Viridiplantae; Streptophyta; Magnoliopsida; Arecales; Arecaceae.
CGGGCAGACAUUUGGCAGGCCCUCUGCACCAGUGGAGCAGCAAGGAGUACUCCAGUAGGUGGGAGAGGGCCUGAUAAAAUCGGACCACGCAGCAGGAUUGGAUUAGGUAUACAGAUGGCUUAGUCGACACAUAUGUUGUGACCGACAGACUGGUAAAAAAUCUAUACCAAAACUCUUCAUUAGAACUAUAAAAACUCUUAUAUGUUUAUUUUAAUUAAUAUAAUUUUAUUAUUUACUUAUUGUAGAUACGGUAGCUGGGUCGUCCACCAGACUAGCUGCAGUUGUGGGAGG